UGGGAGCUUGCUCCCUGAUGUUAGCGGCGGACGGGUGAGUAACACGUGGGUAACCUGCCUGUAAGACUGGGAUAACUCCGGGAAACCGGGGCUAAUACCGGAUGGUUGUUUGAACCGCAUGGUUCAAACAUAAAAGGUGGCUUCGGCUACCACUUACAGAUGGACCCGCGGCGCAUUAGCUAGUUGGUGAGGUAACGGCUCACCAAGGCAACGAUGCGUAGCCGACCUGAGAGGGUGAUCGGCCACACUGGGACUGAGACACGGCCCAGACUCCUACGGGAGGCAGCAGUAGGGAAUCUUCCGCAAUGGACGAAAGUCUGACGGAGCAACGCCGCGUGAGUGAUGAAGGUUUUCGGAUCGUAAAGCUCUGUUGUUAGGGAAGAACAAGUACCGUUCGAAUAGGGCGGUACCUUGACGGUACCUAACCAGAAAGCCACGGCUAACUACGUGCCAGCAGCCGCGGUAAUACGUAGGUGGCAAGCGUUGUCCGGAAUUAUUGGGCGUAAAGGGCUCGCAGGCGGUUUCUUAAGUCUGAUGUGAAAGCCCCCGGCUCAACCGGGGAGGGUCAUUGGAAACUGGGGAACUUGAGUGCAGAAGAGGAGAGUGGAAUUCCACGUGUAGCGGUGAAAUGCGUAGAGAUGUGGAGGAACACCAGUGGCGAAGGCGACUCUCUGGUCUGUAACUGACGCUGAGGAGCGAA
Molecule: ribosomal RNA, 700 nt
Filed under: Bacillus subtilis
Lineage: Bacteria; Bacillati; Bacillota; Bacilli; Caryophanales; Bacillaceae
Description: bacterial SSU rRNA
Rfam family: Bacterial small subunit ribosomal RNA
Source: RNAcentral